AGAGGUCCCGCCUGGCCCUGUGACUAUAUGUUUAACGGCCGCGGUAUUUUGACCGUGCGAAGGUAGCGCAAUCACUUGUCUUUUAAAUGGGGACCUGUAUGAAUGGCAUAACGAGGGCUUAACUGUCUCCUCUUUCAAGUCAAUGAAAUUGAUCUCCCCGUGCAGAAGCGAGGAUAGAUACAUAAGACGAGAAGACCCUAUGGAGCUUUAGACACUAAAGCAGAUCAGUAUUAAUACCCUGAACAUAGGCUACGAAUAAACUGACCCCUGCCCUAAUGUCUUUGGUUGGGGCGACCGCGGAGAAAAAUAAAACCCCCGCAAGGACUAAAUGUACUACAUUCACAAACAAGAGCGACAGCUCUAACUAACAGAACUUCUGACCAAUAAGAUCCGGCAAUGCCGAUCAAUGAACCGAGUUACCCUAGGGAUAACAGCGCAAUCUCCUCUUAGAGCCCAUAUCGACGA
RNAcentral lists this ribosomal RNA (465 nucleotides) under Epinephelus fuscoguttatus (brown-marbled grouper). RNAcentral describes it as "partial 16S ribosomal RNA". It matches the Rfam family "Bacterial large subunit ribosomal RNA", at positions 1848 to 2511 of the family's 2925-position model. The record is from RNAcentral. Lineage: Eukaryota; Metazoa; Chordata; Actinopteri; Perciformes; Serranidae.